UAGGUGCAGCGGCUCCACCGGUUCUCCUUCAUGACUGGAAUUUUUUCUUCAGCUAACAUGCACAAAAAGGGACAGUGAACACAAGGGUUAAAAAACCUUGUGAAAUGAGAAACGGGAAGGGGGUCAUCGAAGAGGGUUUAGGGUUUUGGCCGCGAUCGCUCCACUGAGUUUUGUCUACAAUUUCUAACUCACCCGCCAUCUCAUUUGCUCCGAUAUGACCACAAAGAGUCUCGG
Molecule: long non-coding RNA, 234 nt
Filed under: Carica papaya (papaya)
Lineage: Eukaryota; Viridiplantae; Streptophyta; Magnoliopsida; Brassicales; Caricaceae
Description: long non-coding RNA (CPAP_LNC010284)
Source: RNAcentral